AUGUGAUUGGUAUCACUCGGUUCGUCCAUGCUUCUGUUGCGAGGUUUGGUGGAUUUGAAAGUGGUACUAGCGUUCCGCUCGGGUUGUGUGCCAUACAGCUCAUGCGGUCGUUAGUGUCUACUGUUCUCUUGGAUGCGGUGCAUGCGUUUAACGUGGGCUCUUGAUUGUGCCCCGUCUAGUCCCUCGGAAUUAUCGUUUGCCAUGAACGACGCUUGCCGUCGUGCCUGGGUUGCUUUUCUGCUUGCGGGGGCAACACUUGCAUGUCGCGCAUAGUUGUUGGUGGAUGCUACCUGGUUGAUCCUGCCAGUAGUCAU
RNAcentral lists this unclassified non-coding RNA (314 nucleotides) under Sophora davidii. RNAcentral describes it as "partial contains external transcribed spacer and 18S ribosomal RNA". RNAcentral also lists the same sequence under 1 other name. Lineage: Eukaryota; Viridiplantae; Streptophyta; Magnoliopsida; Fabales; Fabaceae. The record is from RNAcentral.